AGUGAACGCUGGCGGUAGGCCUAACAUAUGCAAGUCGAACGGCAGCACAGGAGAGCUUGCUCUCUGGGUGGCGAGUGGCGGACGGGUGAGGAAUACAUCGGAAUCUACUUUUUCGUGGGGGAUAACGUAGGGAAACUUACGCUAAUACCGCAUACGACCUACGGGUGAAAGCAGGGGAUCUUCGGACCUUGCGCGAUUGAAUGAGCCGAUGUCGGAUUAGCUAGUUGGCGGGGUAAAGGCCCACCGAGGCGACGAUCCGUAGCUGGUCUGAGAGGAUGAUCAGCCACACUGGAACUGAGACACGGUCCAGACUCCUACGGGAGGCAGCAGUGGGGAAUAUUGGACAAUGGGCGCAAGCCUGAUCCAGCCAUACCGCGUGGGUGAAGAAGGCCUUCGGGUUGUAAAGCCCUUUUGUUGGGAAAGAAAUCCAGCUGGCUAAUACCCGGUUGGGAUGACGGUACCCAAAGAAUAAGCACCGGCUAACUUCGUGCCAGCAGCCGCCGUAA
This 506-nucleotide ribosomal RNA is filed under the name uncultured bacterium. Its description in RNAcentral is "partial 16S ribosomal RNA". It matches the Rfam family "Bacterial small subunit ribosomal RNA", at positions 29 to 523 of the family's 1533-position model. The record is from RNAcentral.